RNAcentral lists this transfer RNA (76 nucleotides) under Heterololigo bleekeri (Bleeker's squid). RNAcentral describes it as "tRNA-Lys". It matches the Rfam family "tRNA". From Rfam's summary of the family: Transfer RNA (tRNA) molecules are approximately 80 nucleotides in length. Their secondary structure includes four short double-helical elements and three loops (D, anti-codon, and T loops). Lineage: Eukaryota; Metazoa; Mollusca; Cephalopoda; Myopsida; Loliginidae. The record is from RNAcentral.
GCCUCCAUAGCUCAGUCGGUAGAGCAUCAGACUUUUAANCUGAGGGUCUGGGGUUCGAGUCCCCAUGUGGGCUCCA